This 24-nucleotide non-coding RNA is filed under the name Arabidopsis thaliana (thale cress). The record is from RNAcentral. Lineage: Eukaryota; Viridiplantae; Streptophyta; Magnoliopsida; Brassicales; Brassicaceae.
UGCCUUUGUGUUCUUUGAGUCGCU